UACGGAAGGGGCAAGCGUUGUUCGGAAUCAUUGGGCGUAAAGGGCGCGUAGGCGGCUUUGUAAGUCGGAUGUGAAAGCCCAGGGCUCAACCUUGGAAGUGCAUCCGAAACUGCGGAGCUUGAAUCCCGGAGAGGGUGGUGGAAUUCCCAGUGUAGAGGUGAAAUUCGUAGAUAUAGGAAGGAAUACCAGUGGCGAAGGCGGCCUCCUGGAUCGAUACUGACGCUGAGGCGCGAAAGCGUGGGGAGCAAACAGG
Molecule: ribosomal RNA, 253 nt
Filed under: uncultured bacterium
Lineage: Bacteria
Description: partial 16S ribosomal RNA
Rfam family: Bacterial small subunit ribosomal RNA
Source: RNAcentral